This 230-nucleotide long non-coding RNA is filed under the name Trifolium pratense (red clover). RNAcentral's name for it is "long non-coding RNA (TPRA_LNC003040)". Lineage: Eukaryota; Viridiplantae; Streptophyta; Magnoliopsida; Fabales; Fabaceae. The record is from RNAcentral.
CCAUAUUCACUUGACCACCCACCAUGCACUAAUAAUGGCCUACAAUUUCCAAAUUGAGGAGAAGCAACAAAAAUGGUGAAGAUUAUGAACACAAGGUGAACAAGGAUGUUCUUGUAAGAGAGUGCCAUGUAUAUGUUCUUUAGUAUAUUGUUGACACUGGGUUUCACUAAAUUUUUGUGUCAAUAUAUGAAGGAAAAAAUAUAAAAACCUUUUUGUAUAAUGAACUUUGU